CCUCAGGAUUUUUUAAAAUCCCCCAAUACCUUCCAAUACAAAGUC
Molecule: non-coding RNA, 45 nt
Organism: Pongo abelii (Sumatran orangutan)
Lineage: Eukaryota; Metazoa; Chordata; Mammalia; Primates; Hominidae
Source: Rfam